ACGUCAGAACUGUUUCGGUCUUCCAUCAGGGUUUCCCCUGACUUCAACCUGAUCAAGUAUAGUUCACCAUCUUUCGGGUCACAGCAUAAAUGCUCAAGGUACGUUCCAGUUAGAGGUAUAAAUAAUAUAAAUAUUAUUAUACAUAACUAUAUAGAACGCCCCGGGAUUGUGUUUAUUAACUAAAAUAGUUAAAAAACUAAUCCCAUUGUUAGUCAAGUUAAUUACGCUAUUAGGUUU
This 237-nucleotide ribosomal RNA is filed under the name Mycodrosophila n. sp. POG-2002. Its description in RNAcentral is "partial 28S ribosomal RNA". Lineage: Eukaryota; Metazoa; Arthropoda; Insecta; Diptera; Drosophilidae. The record is from RNAcentral.